Molecule: ribosomal RNA, 415 nt
Filed under: Leptolyngbya sp. RN45
Lineage: Bacteria; Bacillati; Cyanobacteriota; Cyanophyceae; Leptolyngbyales; Leptolyngbyaceae
Description: bacterial SSU rRNA
Rfam family: Bacterial small subunit ribosomal RNA
Source: RNAcentral
UGGGGAAUUUUCCGCAAUGGGCGCAAGCCUGACGGAGCAAGACCGCGUGCGGGAUGAAGGUCUGUGGACUGUAAACCGCUUUUGAUAGGGAAGAACACAAUGACGGUACCUAUCGAAUCAGCCUCGGCUAACUCCGUGCCAGCAGCCGCGGUAAUACGGAGGAGGCAAGCGUUAUCCGGAAUUAUUGGGCGUAAAGCGUCCGUAGGUGGUGAUGCAAGUCUAUUGUCAAAGCAUGAGGCUUAACCUCAUACCGGCAGUGGAAACUGCAUUGCUAGAGUGCGAUAGGGGCAAGGGGAAUUCCCAGUGUAGCGGUGAAAUGCGUAGAUAUUGGGAAGAACAUCGGUGGCGAAAGCGCCUUGCUGGGUCUGCACUGACACUGAGGGACGAAAGCUAGGGGAGCGAAUGGGAUUAGAUA